RNAcentral lists this ribosomal RNA (495 nucleotides) under uncultured bacterium. Its description in RNAcentral is "partial 16S ribosomal RNA". It matches the Rfam family "Bacterial small subunit ribosomal RNA", at positions 28 to 507 of the family's 1533-position model. The record is from RNAcentral.
GACGAACGCUGGCGGCGUGCCUAAUACAUGCAAGUAGAACGCUGAAGGAGGAGCUUGCUCUUCUGGAUGAGUUGCGAACGGGUGAGUAACGCGUAGGUAACCUGCCUGGUAGCGGGGGAUAACUAUUGGAAACGAUAGCUAAUACCGCAUAAGAGUAGAUGUUGCAUGACAUUUACUUAAAAGGUGCAAUUGCAUCACUACCAGAUGGACCUGCGUUGUAUUAGCUAGUUGGUGGGGUAACGGCUUACCAAGGCGACGAUACAUAGCCGACCUGAGAGGGGGAUCGGCCACACUGGGACUGAGACACGGCCCAGACUCCUACGGGAGGCAGCAGUAGGGAAUCUGCGGCAAGGGACGGAAGUCUGACCGAGCAACGCCGCGGGAGGGAAGAAGGUUUUCGGAUCGGAAAGCUCGGUUGUAAGAGAAGAACGAGUGUGAGAGUGGAAAGUUCACACUGUGACGGUAUCUUACCAGAAAGGGACGGCUAACUACGUG